Molecule: long non-coding RNA, 2476 nt
Organism: Taeniopygia guttata (zebra finch)
Lineage: Eukaryota; Metazoa; Chordata; Aves; Passeriformes; Estrildidae
Source: Ensembl
UUUUUUUUCAUAUAUUUUUUUCCUUACAUGUCAUCACUGGCAAUGAUGGUGUUUUUCUUCAUCAAGUCUUAUUUUUAUCGAAGUGAUGAAAGUGGAAACAAAACCUCAAUUGCAAAAGAAUACUAGCACACGUUGUGUCAAAACUAGUACUGUGUUAUUUUUCAGUAGCAGAUAAGUUUUCUCUCUAAAACUGACCUUGCAAUUUAUCCACUAGGGAGCUAGAUAACACAACUACACCCUUUGAGAUAAUAAUUAUUGCUGUAGUAAUGUUGGACAGAUAUUUAUCUGAUUCUUUUCUGAGGAGGAAUUGAUAUUUUAAUAUAGUAUUCCCAGGCUAUAUUUCUGUUAACAAUAUUAACAAAUGUCUGCAAAAGUCAUAUUGAGCCACAGAAGUUCCCUUAAGAAACCUCAGCCACAUAAAUAUGGUAACUGAAUCCUUGUGCAGUUCAGCUACAGAGCAAUGAUAUACCAAUGCCUGCAUGUUUCUUUGAGAUCACAUUAGCUUCCUCUUGGGAUAGCUGGAAAAGGUCAAGAUGCAUAAAGUAAAAGGGAAAAUAACAAGAAAACUGAUCCCAUAUGUCACCAAAUAACCUUUCUUAUUCUUAAGUGACUCCUACGAGUUAACAUGGUCAGACAUGAACCUAAACAUGCCCAUGGUUUUCUGGUAAGGCUGACAGUGCCUGAGAAGGUUUGUAGCACUACAGGUACCCUUUUUGUCUGUGAAUUCACUCAGCACUAAGUACUGCUUUUUCUGCCACUGGAAAAGCCUGUCAGCCUUUGUGUUUAGCUUAAACCGUACUCCAAAUAUAUUCUGGAAGAGAUGCAGGGGAGAGGAAUGUAGUGCAGAAUGGUGGUUUGCAGCAUAGAUACACAAACAAUAAGGAUGUUUCAGGUUUCUGGGGCAGUUCUUCAAGAAUGUCUCAACCAAUAUCUCUGACAAAACCUUAGAAACAUGAUAAGCUAAAGAGAAUCCAUCGGUUUAGAUAAUAGCAAUGACAUAAAGCUCUACAAACUGUCAAUUGAGAGGAGAUGCCUUUUUCUUUUUAAGAUGAUGUCUCAUUUAUGAUUUCUCCUUUCAUUACUGUAAAACAGCUUCUCUCCACAAAUUUCAUUUCUUUAUAUUUUGCACAAAGUACAAGGGUGUAAAUGUGAAACAUACUUUGAAAUGAGAAAGGGCUGUAGAGAUAAUUCACAAUGUAUUUUUGUGGGGUUUAUUUAUUUAUUUCUAUUUGAGUUAUGUAGGUGCAAGAAACAUUUAUGGGAAAAGUAAGAUAUUUUGUAUAGUCAAGUGUUGAAACACUUGAAGUGUUUCAAGUUAAAGAUGUCACCAGUUGUAAGCUUUUUAUGCUACUUCAUAUUAUUCUACAACCAUAAUUUUGUAUUCAAUGGUCCUUUAAAUAAUCACUUGAGGAAACACUGAAAUCAGCUAAUGAACUGUGUGCUUUAAAGUGCCAAACUUGUCUUUUUAAUAGGUAUCUGUGUCUCUGUGUCAUAUAAGUCAGAUUUUUGUACCAUACACUGACUGACGUUAUAAAGCAGAAGAGAAUUAUGAUAUAGUAGUUUUAUACUCAUACUUCAUUGUUUAAAAUUAGAUGUAUUAGAUGACUGACAUUGUGUUUUCAUGUGUACGACUUUGGCUCUACAUGUCUACUUUUUGUGGGCUCUGAGUGGAGAGAAAAUGAGUAGAAAUGUGUAUUCUAUCAUUUGCAAUAUAGAAGGGGAGAUUUGUCAAGAAAACAAAGGGGAGAAGAAUCAUGUGUGUAAAACCAAGGAAUCCAAAAAAAGGAGAAAUCUGCUAUUGUAGGGAUGAGUGUUGAACUCCUAAAUGUCACAGACUGACUUGUCAUGUUUCAAUUAAAAGAGAAAAUUUUACUCUUUUCUCAUGUAAGAGAAAAGUUUUGAGGAGAAAUCUCAGCCUGAAUUGGUGUAAAUUGAGUGCAACCAUUCAGAAUCAAGAAGUUCUUGGAUUCAUUACAAGUAGAAUAGCCUAAGCAUGAGCCAGAUUAAUACUGUAUGUUGAGCCAUGUCUGCAAAAUGUGCAACAAGGCUGAAAUGUAUUGUUGUCAGACAGCAGUUGUUUGGUCCCCACCACAGAUCUUAAAAUAUUAUUAAGAGAUAAAUCAUGUUAAUGAUAUCAUCAGUAAAACUUCAUGCUUAUAAGUACUGUCUAAGUACAGGAAUUAAAACUUAAUUAGUUAAGAACUCUUUUGUCACUAUUAUUUUACUUCUCUGAGAAUUAGUAUAAAACUAUGGCCUUAUUAGAUGAUCAGCUAAAAUACCUCCUUUUGCAAAAUCCAAAAUACAUUGUUUGUUUCUUUGUGUGUGCAUGUUUUUGGUUUUUUUUCUUUUUUUAAUUAAUUCCAAAGUAACAAUCUGUAGAAGUAAAAGCCUGGCCCCAGUGACACUGACUAUGUGACUGUGUUUUCAGCCAUCAUUUUUCUGCUUUAACCACAAUGUAAGAUACUCUGACUGUGUG